This is a non-coding RNA of Pelobates cultripes (western spadefoot toad), 317 nucleotides long. The record is from the annotation of a GenBank genome assembly. NCBI's taxonomy places the organism in Eukaryota, Metazoa, Chordata, Amphibia, Anura, Pelobatidae.
ACUCUAUCCCCUAUAAAUGGGGCCCUCAUCAUUUAACCACAGAGCAUGCUGGUAAGACGACCCACCUGACACACAUAUCUGAGGCGCCUAAGUUUCUCCAGUCACUGGGACUCUCGUUAGCUGCAGCAGCAACAAGGGCCAGCCCAUCAUAGAACAUCGAUGAAAUAACUCCCUUUGUGCCCUGAGGAACUAUGCCGAGGAUGACGGAUCCUUAACAUGAGAAAAGCGACCGCACAUGCAAGUGCACCUGUGCAAUGUCCUAGUUCCUUUACUACAGGACUAUAUAUUGGACACUUUUGAUAUGCUAAACUUACCUG